CCCUUCAUCACCAUCAAGAGACGACAAAGAUAGAUCUGAAUGUAGACCUGUAACGAAUCCUUAGAAGUAUAUACAAUGCCAAUUCCUUAACUGUUUGUAUGAAAACGAAAAGAAAACCAAUUAUAAGAAGGCGUAAAGUAUUUGGUUUUUAAAGAAAAUUUACGGUCCCGUAACCGAAUAAAGUCACAUUCAAUUUGACAGUUCCAUGUUUAAAAUACUCGUAUGAAGAUUUAUUAAGGCUCUUACAAAAAUCCUAAUACAUAAAGAAAGAUAACAUAUAUAUAUAUAGGCGCUAUCAGCAUUGAUGACUUGAUGACGGAUGCAACGUGGAAAUAACUUAUCGGCGUUCACGAUCAUUGUUCAAGUAAAACGAAAUCAAAGGCUGCUUGAAAGGAGAAGAGAACUAUGUUUGAAUUCUGGCACAGAUACGGCAGAGUCCAGAGAGCGCGGACCCUUGAGGAACGUGACUGUGAAGAAUCUUCGAGAAAUACAAGGACGUUCAGAAGAAUUGAGGAUUCGUUUUAGAACAACACGGAACUACUGGAAGAAGUGACGUUAGUGACGUCAGCGAGGCCGGCGUCUCACUCUCUGUUUAAACAACGAGUUUGUAUUAAAUCCGAUAAGUAAA
Molecule: long non-coding RNA, 628 nt
Organism: Danaus plexippus (monarch butterfly)
Lineage: Eukaryota; Metazoa; Arthropoda; Insecta; Lepidoptera; Nymphalidae
Exons: 2
Source: RefSeq, a predicted model, not a curated record